UACGGAAGGCAGCAGUGGGGAAUAUUGCACAAUGGGCGCAAGCCUGAUGCAGCCAUGCCGCGUGUAUGAAGAAGGCCUUCGGGUUGUAAAGUACUUUCAGUCGUGAGGAAGGUGUUAAGGUUAAUAACCUUAGCAAUUGACGUUAGCGACAGAAGAAGCACCGGCUAACUCCGUGCCAGCAGCCGCGGUAAUACGGAGGGUGCGAGCGUUAAUCGGAAUUACUGGGCGUAAGGGCACGCAGGCGGUUAAUAAGUUGGAUGUGAAUCCCCGGGCUUAACCUGGGAAUGGCAUUCAAGACUGGUUAGCUAGAGUCUUGUAGAGGGGGUAGAAUUCCAUGUGUAGCGGUGAAAUGCGUAGAGAUGUGGAGGAAUACCGGUGGCGAAGGCGGCCCCUGGGACAAAGACUGACGCUCAUGUGCGAAAGCGUGGGGAGCAAACAGGAUUAGAUACC
Molecule: ribosomal RNA, 450 nt
Filed under: uncultured bacterium
Lineage: Bacteria
Description: bacterial SSU rRNA
Rfam family: Bacterial small subunit ribosomal RNA
Source: RNAcentral